RNAcentral lists this ribosomal RNA (568 nucleotides) under uncultured bacterium. RNAcentral's name for it is "bacterial SSU rRNA". It matches the Rfam family "Bacterial small subunit ribosomal RNA", at positions 277 to 842 of the family's 1533-position model. The record is from RNAcentral.
CGAUGCGUAGGGGUUCUGAGAGGAAGGUCCCCCACACUGGUACUGAGACACGGACCAGACUCCUACGGGAGGCAGCAGUGAGGAAUAUUGGUCAAUGGGAGAGAUCCUGAACCAGCCAAGCCGCGUGAGGGAAGACGGCCCUAUGGGUUGUAAACCUCUUUUGUCGGAGAACAAAACCCGGGACGAGUCCCGGACUGCGUGUAUCCGAAGAAAAAGCAUCGGCUAACUCCGUGCCAGCAGCCGCGGUAAUACGGAGGAUGCGAGCGUUAUCCGGAUUUAUUGGGUUUAAAGGGUGCGUAGGCGGUCCGUUAAGUCAGCGGUAAAAUUGCGGGGCUCAACCCCGUCGAGCCGUUGAAACUGUCAGACUUGAGUUGGCGAGAAGUACGCGGAAUGCGCGGUGUAGCGGUGAAAUGCAUAGAUAUCGCGCAGAACUCCGAUUGCGAAGGCAGCGUACCGGCGCCAGACUGACGCUGAGGCACGAAAGCGUGGGGAUCGAACAGGAUUAGAUACCCUGGUAGUCCACGCAGUAAACGAUGAAUGCUGGUUGUCCGGGUCGAAUGAGACCUGG